AGUCAACAUGCCCAGGGGACGUGGAUAACCUCGGGAAACUGAGGAUAAACCGCGAUAGGCCAAGGCUUCUGGAAUGGGCCAUGGCUGAAAUCUAUACGGCCCCUGGAUUGGACUGCGGCCGAUCAGGCUGUUGGUGAGGUAAUGGCCCACCAAACCUGUAACCGGUACGGGCUUUGAGAGAAGGAGCCCGGAGAUGGGCACUGAGACAAGGGCCCAGGCCCUAUGGGGCGCAGCAGGCGCGAAACCUCUGCAAUAGGCGAAAGCUUGACAGGGUUACUCUGAGCGAUGUCCGCUAAGGGCAUCUUUUGGCACCUCUAAAAAUGGUGCAGAAUAAGGGGUGGGCAAGUCUGGUGUCAGCCGCCGCGGUAAUACCAGCACCCCGAGUGGUCGGGACGAUUAUUGGGCCUAAAGCAUCCGUAGCUUGUUCUGCAAGUCCUCCGUUAAAUCCACCUGCUCAACAGAUGGGCUGCGGAGGAUACUACAGGGCUAGGAGGCGGGAGAGGCAAACGGUACUCAGUGGGUAGGGGUAAAAUCCUCUGAUCCAUUGAAGACCACCAGUGGCGAAGGCGGUUUGCCAGAACGCGCUCGACGGUGAGGGAUGAAAGCUGGGGGAGCAAACCGGAUUAGAUACCCGGGUAGUCCCAGCUGUAAACGAUGCAGACUCGGUGAUGGGUUGGCUUCGAGCCAACCCAGUGCCGCAGGGAAGCCGUUAAGUCUGCCGCCUGGGGAGUACGGUCGCAAGACUGAAACU
This 751-nucleotide ribosomal RNA is filed under the name uncultured archaeon. RNAcentral describes it as "bacterial SSU rRNA". It matches the Rfam family "Archaeal small subunit ribosomal RNA", at positions 102 to 856 of the family's 1478-position model. The record is from RNAcentral.